Molecule: ribosomal RNA, 499 nt
Filed under: uncultured bacterium
Lineage: Bacteria
Description: partial 16S ribosomal RNA
Rfam family: Bacterial small subunit ribosomal RNA
Source: RNAcentral
AUUGAACGCUGGCGGCAUGCCUUACACAUGCAAGUCGAACGGCAGCACGGGAGCAAUCCUGGUGGCGAGUGGCGAACGGGUGAGUAAAGUAUCGGAACGUGCCCAGUCGUGGGGGAUAACGUAGCGAAAGUUACGCUAAUACCGCAUACGAUCUAUGGAUGAAAGCGGGGGAUCGCAAGACCUCGCGCGAUUGGAGCGGCCGAUAUCAGAUUAGGUAGUUGGUGGGGUAAAGGCUCACCAAGCCGACGAUCUGUAGCUGGUCUGAGAGGACGGCAGGCCAAAAUGGACUGAGACACGGCACAGACUCCUACGGGAGGCAGCAGUGGGGAAUUUUGGAAAAUGGGCGAAAGCCUGAUCCAGCCAUGCCGCGUGCAGGAUGAAGGCCUUCGGGUUGUAAACUGCUUUUGUACGGAACGAAAAGGUUUGGCCUAAUAAGCUGAGCUCAUGACGGUACCGUAAGAAUAAGCACCGGCUAACUACGUGCCAGCCGCCGCGGUAA